Molecule: ribosomal RNA, 223 nt
Filed under: uncultured bacterium
Lineage: Bacteria
Description: partial 16S ribosomal RNA
Rfam family: Bacterial small subunit ribosomal RNA
Source: RNAcentral
UACGUAGGGGGCAAGCGUUGUCCGGAAUCAUUGGGCGUAAAGCGCGUGUAGGCGGCCCGGUAAGUCCGCUGUGAAAGUCGGGGGCUCAACCCUCGAAUGCCGGUGGAUACUGUCGGGCUAGAGUGCGGAAGAGGCGAGUGGAAUUCCUGGUGUAGCGGUGAAAUGCGCAGAUAUCAGGAGGAACACCAAUUGCGAAGGCAGCUCGCUGGGACGUGACUGACGC